Small nuclear RNA from Schistocerca nitens (vagrant locust), 191 nucleotides. RefSeq annotates it as U2 spliceosomal RNA. The record is from RefSeq and is a predicted model, not a curated record. NCBI's taxonomy places the organism in Eukaryota, Metazoa, Arthropoda, Insecta, Orthoptera, Acrididae. The transcript has a single exon.
AUCGUUAACUGUUGUGAAAAUACUGUACAACAGUAAAUCCAUUCUUAACAGCUUAAUAUCUGUUAUAUCCUGCAUCACAGGACUAGAAUAUUAAACUCUUUCUUGGCUCAUGGUGGAGUGCUAAGAGCAUGCACUACAUCUGUCACAGGUGCCUCCCCGCUUUCAAAUUCCCGUAAGAUAGCUAAAUGCUU